RNAcentral lists this RNase P RNA (331 nucleotides) under bacterium. RNAcentral describes it as "RNase P RNA component class A". It matches the Rfam family "Bacterial RNase P class A". Rfam says of the family: Ribonuclease P (RNase P) is a ubiquitous endoribonuclease, found in archaea, bacteria and eukarya as well as chloroplasts and mitochondria. Its best characterised activity is the generation of mature 5'-ends of tRNAs by cleaving the 5'-leader elements of precursor-tRNAs. Cellular RNase Ps are ribonucleoproteins. The record is from RNAcentral. RNAcentral also lists the same sequence under 2 other names.
CAGGUACAACAGAUAGUGACUUGAGUUUUACAUUCAAGAGGAAAGUCCGAGCUGCUGUAAGACAGUGUUCCAUUUAACGAAUGGCCGUAGCAAUACGAGGGAAAGUGCAACAGAGAUUAGACUUCUGCUUUUUUAAGUAGUAAAGGUGAAAAGGCGGUGUAAGAGACCACCAGUCUUUAUAGCAAUAUAGAGAGCUUGAAAACCCAACAUGGCAGCAAGAAACAAAUGGUUAGCGUCUUACAUUGCUAUUGUUUCGCUAGAGGUACUAUGUAAAUGGUACAGUAGAUUAAUGCUAUCUAGACAAAACUCGGCUUAUAGUUGUACCUAGCCC